AUCGCGAUAGCUCGCCUGUUAGAGCGUCUGCCCGGUAUGCGGAGGAUCGCCGGUUCGAUUCCGGCUCGCGGCG
RNAcentral lists this transfer RNA (73 nucleotides) under Fasciola hepatica (liver fluke). It matches the Rfam family "tRNA". Rfam says of the family: Transfer RNA (tRNA) molecules are approximately 80 nucleotides in length. Their secondary structure includes four short double-helical elements and three loops (D, anti-codon, and T loops). Further hydrogen bonds mediate the characteristic L-shaped molecular structure. tRNAs have two regions of fundamental functional importance: the anti-codon, which is responsible for specific mRNA codon recognition, and the 3' end, to which the tRNAs corresponding amino acid is attached (by aminoacyl-tRNA synthetases). tRNAs cope with the degeneracy of the genetic code in two manners: having more than one tRNA (with a specific anti-codon) for a particular amino acid; and 'wobble' base-pairing, i.e. permitting non-standard base-pairing at the 3rd anti-codon position. Lineage: Eukaryota; Metazoa; Platyhelminthes; Trematoda; Plagiorchiida; Fasciolidae. The record is from Rfam by way of RNAcentral.